This 240-nucleotide unclassified non-coding RNA is filed under the name soil metagenome. RNAcentral's name for it is "partial contains 5.8S ribosomal RNA, internal transcribed spacer 2, and large subunit ribosomal RNA". The record is from RNAcentral.
AACGCACGAGACCUGCGGACCUGCGGAGGGAUCAUUAACGAGUGUAACUUACCCUUUUUUUUAAAAGAGGGUAGUACCUCCUGUCCUUUGUAGGCCCCUUUUUAUUGGGGGGCUUUUUAAGACUUUCUGCUUCGGCGGGGUUAUUCCCGCCGGAACACCCUCAAAAAACUCUUCAAAAACUAAUUCAGUCCGAGAAUUUUUGAAAAUAAAAAAAACUUUCAGCAACGGAUCUCUAGAUCG